Molecule: small nuclear RNA, 131 nt
Filed under: Gnomulus rostratus
Lineage: Eukaryota; Metazoa; Arthropoda; Arachnida; Opiliones; Sandokanidae
Also listed under: 1 other name
Description: partial U2 snRNA
Rfam family: U2 spliceosomal RNA
About the family: U2 is a small nuclear RNA (snRNA) component of the spliceosome (involved in pre-mRNA splicing). Complementary binding between U2 snRNA (in an area lying towards the 5' end but 3' to hairpin I) and the branchpoint sequence (BPS) of the intron results the bulging out of an unpaired adenosine, on the BPS, which initiates a nucleophilic attack at the intronic 5' splice site, thus starting the first of two transesterification reactions that mediate splicing.
Source: RNAcentral
GAUCAAAGUGUAGUAUCUGUUCUCGGCAGCUUAAUAUCUGUUGUGAUCUCCAUUGGGGAUCAAGAUAUUAAACUUAUUUUUGCAAUGAGGCGUAGAUAUUGAAGCUUGCUUCACCUACGCCGCGGGUUGGC